Long non-coding RNA from Lontra canadensis (Northern American river otter), 1067 nucleotides. RefSeq lists it as uncharacterized. The record is from RefSeq and is a predicted model, not a curated record. The transcript has 2 exons. NCBI's taxonomy places the organism in Eukaryota, Metazoa, Chordata, Mammalia, Carnivora, Mustelidae.
AAUGGGCUUCAUUAAGCCUGUCUCUAUGACUGUGAGAACAAGGGCAUCAUUUCUUCUAGGUGUCUGCCUUCCUCACCUCUGAAUAUGAUGAUGGAUGAAGGAUUUCGAAGGUUUCUCGCAACCACACAAUUCGGCUCUUCUCUCCAAUGGUUGAGGAAAAUGAUGAAGUCUGUUAGCUUUGUGUGGGGGGACCGGAGAAGACAAGGGACUUGCCCAGGUUCCCAGCCCGAGUCCACAGCUGGGCUGGGCGAAACUUAUCUGCUGCCCCAUGCCGCCUGCUCAGAAUCAAAUCAGAAUGCCACCAACGCCGGGAUUAUGUAAUUCCAGGCUCUCCUCGGCAAACACGACCACCCACAUCACCGGCCAGAACGCACACAGCCUGUCGAAGCCGCCACCUGGUCCAAUUUAUCAUCAGGACUCCAUUUGAACGCCCCAGAAUAACACAAAAGAUGGGAAACCAAAGCCAUUUACACGGAGAGAGUUCCGUGGAAGGCCAUGUUGUGAUGGAGGGCACGCAGGGGUCUGAACCACGGCAUUCCUUACGUAACAUCUCGGGGGCGCACGCUAGGACAAUUUCCCAUUUGACUCUUGGUAGCACCCACAAGCAUGUGGGCUUUCCUCUAAAGCAGACACAGCAUGGGCUGUUCACUGCAAUGAUGGCACUGAGCCGAAUCGGGGCUGCUUCUCCGCCUUUCUCCUGACCCCCUCCCCUUUCUGGGCCCGGACUCCCCUUGCCGUUAAAAUAAGGAAAUGGUCCUGGGUGGUUUUUUAUUUCAGCUCUACCCUUUCAUGACUUUGCAAUUCUGCAUUUGAUUUACAGACCAAGGAGGAAUUCGUUUUUUCCGUGAGGGAACGAAAACUGUGGCACUUGGGAGAUUUGGUCAGGGGGGGUCUGAAACCAGCCUCUUCCAAGAUAGUUAGGCGGUCUGAUUGUUUUAGAUCUCCAUUUGGGUAUCAGCCUUUUAUUUUCUGCUCUUCUUAAUCAAAUUCAUUCAUUAGUUUUUCUCAUCAGUUCAGCAAUCAUUUAUUUUCUAGAAAAAUUACAGAUGCAUUCCCUUAACCCCCCC